RNAcentral lists this transfer RNA (65 nucleotides) under Pseudoleptodeira latifasciata. Its description in RNAcentral is "tRNA-Ile". Lineage: Eukaryota; Metazoa; Chordata; Lepidosauria; Squamata; Dipsadidae. The record is from RNAcentral.
GGAAGCGUGCCCGAGAAGGGACUACAUUGAUAGAGUAGACACGGAACUAAAAACUCCCGCCUCCC